Molecule: ribosomal RNA, 549 nt
Filed under: Micrura sp. 468 MLS-2006
Lineage: Eukaryota; Metazoa; Nemertea; Pilidiophora; Heteronemertea; Lineidae
Description: partial 16S ribosomal RNA
Rfam family: Bacterial large subunit ribosomal RNA
Source: RNAcentral
UCGCCUGUUUAUUCCAAAACAUAGCUUWAUGGUGUUUAAUAUUAAGUGUUUUCUGCCCGGUGAAGAUUUUAAAUGGCCGCGGUAUUUUGACCGUGCAAAGGUAGCAUAAUAACUUGCCUCUUAAUUGGGGGCUGGUAUGAAUGAAAAAAUAAAAGCCUAGCUGUCUCUUAUAAGUAAUAAAAGUUGCUGUUUGUGUGAAGAAGCGCAAGUAAAGAAAAAAGACAAGAAGACCCUAUUAAGCUUUACUCAUAAGCUUUAUUUUUUAUCUUAGAAGAAUAAAAAAUAAAGCAUCUUGAGUUUGGUUGGGGUGACUAAAAAGGAAAAGAUCCUUUUUUUUUGUUGUUAUUUUAAAUUUAAUUAGGAUCCAGUCUUUCUGAUUUUAGGAACAAGUUACUAUAGGGAUAACAGCGUAAUUUUCUCAGCAAGUUCUAAUUAAAGAGAAAGAUUGCGACCUCGAUGUUGACUUGUUGUUUCCUGUUAAGGUGCAGAAGCUAGGAUGGUUAGUCUGUUCGACUAUUAAAAAAACACGUGAUCUGAGUUCAGACCGGA